This 1245-nucleotide long non-coding RNA is filed under the name Salmo salar (Atlantic salmon). RNAcentral's name for it is "lncRNA (ENSSSAG00000116645.1)". The record is from RNAcentral. Lineage: Eukaryota; Metazoa; Chordata; Actinopteri; Salmoniformes; Salmonidae.
GCCUGUCCCCAUAGGAUAACCUUUUUUUGGUUCCAGGUAGAACCCUUUUGGGUUCCAUGUACAACCUUUCCAUAGAGGGUUCUACCUGGAACCAAAAAGGGUUCUAUGAGGACAGCUGAAUAACUGUUUUGGAACCCAUUUUUCUAAGAGUGUAGGGUUAUGGCAUGGUCAGACAGGUGACUAAGCUCACCACAUUUAUACAAACCAUGGUCACCUAACCCUGAGACCUUCCAGUAGGCCAUGGAUACGCCUAUUGUCUGGGGAAGGUCCAGAUGUAAACAGAAGCUGACCCCCUCCUCCAUUACUACACUAAAAUCACUGGUUGGAAAUUCUUCUCCAGAGUGAGGGAGUCUGGUAGCGCCAUUGGCCCCCAGCCCCCAGCUAUAGCCAACACAGCAGGGCCUCACUAAGGUACACCAUUUACCCCUGAGACCAACCCUGCCACAGUGGCAUCUAGACCAGGGGUUAAACAAACAGCACAAACAGCACACCCCUGGAACCAGUUAUGAUGCAGUGCUAUUGAAGCUGGUGGUGAGGCAGACGGUACAGGUGGAGGUGGGAGAACCGGAACGGUACCAUUCCAGCAUGGCUCUGUCUCUGUCUCAGUCCCUGUUACUGAAGUGGUUCUGGUCUCUGACUCUAUCUUAGACCCCUGUCCUGGGCCUUGCCAUGGGGUCUCAGACCCUGACCAAAGUCACAAGCCUUCCAAUGACCAUAGACAUGACAUUGCAUCCUCUUAAACCCAAUCAUUUGGCUGAGCCUAACCCUAACAUAGACUUUGAACUUAACACUUGCCCUGCCUCUUACUCCUCAGCACCAAACUGUCCCUCAGCUCUGACUCCUACCAGAACCCCUUAGUGAACCGUGUCCCUCACCCUAAUCCUAACCUUAACAACUCAGGGGAAACUAGAUCACUCCAGGCACUUGAUCAUAACCCUGCAGAUAGUCCUGACCAGAACCCCUUAGUGAGCACUGUCAAAUCAAAUCAAAUGUUAUUUGUCACAUGAGGUGUAGACACAGUGAAAUGCUUACUUACAAGCCCUUAACCAACAAUGCAGUUUUAAGAAAAUACCUAAAAAAAGUAAGAGAUAAGAAUAACAAAUGAUUAAAGAGCAGCAGUAAAUAACAAUAGCGGGGCUAUGUACAGGGGGUACUGGUACAGAGUCAAUGUGUGAGGUAAUUGAGGUACAUGUAGGUAGAGUUAUUAAAGUGACUAUGCAUAGAUAAUAACAGAGUAGCAGCAGC